Non-coding RNA from Cinara cedri, 536 nucleotides. NCBI's taxonomy places the organism in Eukaryota, Metazoa, Arthropoda, Insecta, Hemiptera, Aphididae. The record is from the annotation of a GenBank genome assembly.
CCCUAACCGCCGAUCGCCGUCGAUGUACCGCAAAAAAAAAAAAAACGGACAUGAUUCGUACGCGGGCGGCGGACCGCUGUUUGCGGGUGACAAGUCGGGAAGGCAGUGGACGGGAAAUUCAACGUAUGCCUGUGCACGCAACGAUUUAGCGUUUCAAACGGAAAACAAAAACCCGAUUCUGAGCGGGGUUCGAUUGAUCGUGUCGCUCACGUGUCAACAAUGUAUCACACGUCAUAUACAAUGACGUGGCGUUCGUGUACACAAAUUAUUCAGUAACAAAUGUUCGCGUCCCGAGUUUUUUUAAAUAAGGAUAAACUUUAGGUUUCCAACAAGUUUUAUAAUUCUAGGAGCCACUGUCACGUUUUGCCACUAACAACAUCGAGUUCAGCCCGGAGUACCGCAUUUUAGAUUUUUUGUAACACCGUAUCAAAUUUCGAUAUUCUCCCUUUAUUCGUUAUUUAAAUUUAAAAGAUUGUAUUAAACAACCAAACGUAAUUGGAUUUUUGGUGUCUACUAUACGAAUAAUUUUAUGCGAG